UAAUACAGAGGUGGCAAGCGUUGUUCGGAAUCACUGGGCAUAAAGGGCGCGUAGGCGGCGAGGCAAGUCGGGUGUGAAAUCCCUCAGCUCAACUGAGGAACUGCGCCCGAAACUACCUUGCUAGAGUGCAGGAGAGGAGAGUGGAACUCCUAGUGGAGCGGUGAAAUGCGUAGAGAUUAGGAGGAACGCCGGUGGCGAAAGCGACUCUCUGGCCUGUAACUGACGCUGAGGCGCGAAAGCUAGGGGAGCAAACGGGAUUAGAUACCCCGGUAGUCCUAGCCGUAAACGAUGGGCACUAAGUAGGGGGGUCUCCGAUGACCUCUCUGCCGGAGCUAAUGUAUUAAGUGCCCCGCCUGGGGAGUAUGGUCGCAAGGCUG
Molecule: ribosomal RNA, 377 nt
Filed under: uncultured bacterium
Lineage: Bacteria
Description: bacterial SSU rRNA
Rfam family: Bacterial small subunit ribosomal RNA
Source: RNAcentral